GACGUAGGGGGCGAGCGUUGUCCGGAUUUAUUGGGCGUAAAGAGCUCGUAGGCGGUUCCGUAAGUCGGAUGUGAAAACUCAGGGCUCAACCCUGAGACGCCAUCUGAUACUGCGGUGACUAGAGUCCGGUAGGGGAGCAUGGAAUUCCUGGUGUAGCGGUGGAAUGCGCAGAUAUCAGGAGGAACACCAAUGGCGAAGGCAGUGCUCUGGGCCGGAACUGACGCUGAGGAGCGAAAGCAUGGGGAGCAAACAGG
Molecule: ribosomal RNA, 254 nt
Filed under: uncultured bacterium
Lineage: Bacteria
Description: partial 16S ribosomal RNA
Rfam family: Bacterial small subunit ribosomal RNA
Source: RNAcentral